CUUAAAUUGCUUUGUGCUUUCAGCAGAUUCAGGAAGCGAUGAAGACUUCCUCAUGGAAGAUGACGAUGAUAGUGACUAUGGCAGUUCAAAAAAGAAAAAUAAAAAGGUCUCCAAGAAAUCCAAGCCAGAGAGGAAAGAAAAGAAAAUGCCGAAGCCCAGGCUAAAGGCUACAGUGACCCCCAGUCCAGUGAAAGGCAAAGGGAAGGCAGGGCGCCCCACAGCUUCCAAGCCAACAAAAGAAAAGACCCCGUCCCCCAAAGAAGAGGAUGAAGAGCCUGAAAGUCCUCCAGAAAAGAAAAAAUCAGCCAGCCCUCCACCAGAGAAAUCGGGGGAUGAGGGAUCUGAAGAUGAAGCACCCUCUGGUGAAGAUUAAAUGGCAGUUGAGGAAAUCUUUGUUUAAAAAAAAAAAAAAAAGAAAAAAAGAAAAAAGAAAAAAAAAAAAGGAAAAGUAAACAUACUUAGGGGUAGAACACGGUUUUGGCUGUGGCUUGACUCAUGGGCUUUGAAUGCUGUCUUUACUUUCAGCUGUUUAAUACAGUGUAUCCUUUUUUUAAUAAGAGGAAACCCUUAUACAGUAAUAUUUUGAAGUCAAUGUUCUCUGUUGGCCAUUCCGUUCUCCCUCCCCCACCAAAUCUGAAAGCCAUUCAAGACAAAUUAACAGACCAUUAAAGAUAUAUUUUUUUCAAGGGAUAAUGCAGUUGUGAAGCAAUAAGGUUGAAGACUGAUAUGUGGAAACCAUACUUACAAAUCAUUAAUUAGCAUAGUUUUCUCAGUGUUGGUAAGAGUUCUGCAUUUGGAUAUGUGGAAAAAAAACCCGAACCUGUGCUUUAAAAAGACUUGUGUUGGUACAAGUUCACUCUCAGAAAAAGAUGUAGUGAUUUGAAUUCCAAUUAAGGAAGAGGAAACAUGGGGAGGAAGCCUGUGUUUCUUGGAUUUGGGCACGUUUUGCAUGGAAAGCAAUCAAGAGACUUGUAGAUGGUCCACUGUCUUUUCCUUAGAAAAGACCCUUCAAUUAGGUUGCGAGCUCGUUUGUCUUUGGAUAGAAUGCUGUUCUGCUUUAGGCACGUCGCAGUUCAUUCUAUACAGAUUCAGAUACACAACCUACAAGCUUCUCCCAUCCGUUAACUUUAUUUCUUCCAAAGUUGGCUAUAGAUGGGCAGAAUAGGGAGCAGAAAUCAAAAAGAAUUUUUCAAACAGUGGUUUCCAUUUGGUAUUGUGGAAAAUGCCUUUGAAACUUUCCCAAGGAAAAAAAAAAAGAAUGAACGGGUUAGUAUAAAAUGUAAUUCUUCAGCUUUUGGGGUGAGGGAUGUCCUUUUAUAAAUGUGAAGCAAAGGAUUCCUGUAAUGCUCUGGUCAGUCUCGGAUCCCAUGAGUCACGCUUAAGUGUUUCUCUUCUCUCCCUCGGUCUGUGCUCAGAAAGGCUCCGUGGCCUCUCGGCCUCUGCAGUCCCAGCGCUGGGGAACGUCACCCCGAGGCCGCUUCCGUUAAUCAUCCUCCCAUCUCACACGGUGGGGGUUCUGCUCCCGCAUCCGCUGCUCUGCCCCUGAUUUUUUGGGCUGUCGUUCUGCUCCCUGAGCCUGAGAAGUGCUGAGUGGGGAACAGCGGUAAAGGGUGACGCUGGGAGGAGGCGCAGUUUGGAAGCGGCGUAGCAGGGAUGUAGUUUUAGAAUAGAAAAGCAGGAUAUCCCUGAAAUGCAAGGCACCAGAGAUAUGCGUGGUGGCAUUUUAAUGUGUUUUUAUCAAAGCAGCCAUAUCCUUUUUUUUUUUUUUUUUAAACUUUAAUUAAAGAUACACAAGCCUUGCUUUUCAAACCCUAAAACAGAGGUUGCUGCCAUAUUUCUUGGU
Molecule: long non-coding RNA, 1843 nt
Filed under: Columba livia (rock pigeon)
Lineage: Eukaryota; Metazoa; Chordata; Aves; Columbiformes; Columbidae
Description: partial uncharacterized LOC102097154
Source: RNAcentral